GAAUUAAGGUAGUUUAGAGUAAUUAGGAUAAAAAUAGGUUUUAAAUAGAAAUAGUGUUAAUUUUGUCUUUUUAGUUAAAUAAAAUAGGUUUUUAAAUAAUUAGGUGUUUUCUCUUUUACAAAAAUAUUCAGAAAAUUAAAAACAAAAUUUCAUUCUUUUUAGGCUUUAUUUUUCAUUUUCUAUUACCAGUUUCUUUUUUUAUGAUGUUGUAGAAAUUAAUAAAAGUGGGCUGAUGCUGAGGAAAAUAUAAUGGGCCAACACUAAUUGGAGAGUAGAUUUGCACCAUUGUGAUGAUAGCUGGGCCGUAGUAGCUGCCACAAGCCCACGAGGCUGCUGUGAGGGAAUGGAAUGAAGAGUGUUUUGGGUCGUCUGCAGUGGGCUGAAGAAUCAAGUGAAGUUGUGCGUUUUAGUGAUCGUGUUUGCUUUGGGGGUCAGUGUUUCGCAAGCCUCAUUUUCAAUUGCAAGUAUCGAGCUAGGGCUCAGGAGCAGAGAAAGAAAACACUCAUCCGAUCCAGAAGAAGUCGAAGUUGAUUCCAAACCUAAGGUUUAAAGCUGGACCCAGAAGUGGAACGUAAUGAGAAGAUGAUCGAAAGGGUUGCUGAGAAGACGCAAGGAGGAUCGGAAGCAAAGUUGUUGCAUCAGAAAGUUAGUUGGAAAAGUGCUCUCGAAGCUUCUAAAACCGUUAUUCGGUUCUUCCCCUUUCUCCUUCUUUCUUUUCUUUUCUGUUUUUGAUUUUUCCCUAUAAAAGGGGGUUUUGUAACAUUGUAAAGAGUGUGUGCACUGGGUGACAGACGGUGUGCUUAGACUAGGUUUUUCGUUCUCUCACCUUAGAGUGGAUUUACAGCUUUCAUAGAAGUAGAUACACUUUUUGCUUUACUGUGGAUUCUGUUCUUCGAUUCUGGAUUUCACUGAGUUGCGAGGGUGACAGGCCGCGAUUUUCGGUGAUCUCUGGUAUCUUGUAUUUUGAUUUUAGUUUUCAAUAAAAUUUCUCUGUUUGAUGUGUUUCUUUCUACAUUCUUCAUUGUUAUUGUUUCAAUUUACUCUUUUGCCAAUUUAAUUUCCAGUUUUUUUAGUUUAGGAUUCUUAUCUCUUACCUUUAUGUUUCUCGUGCCCAAUCCAAUUAGCUUCUCUGCACUUUAAGUUUUUGAUGUUAGUAGUUGUUGUCUUUGGUUAAAGCUAUAAUUCUGAGUUAGAUAUGCAUAGGAUUUUAUGAUUGAAUGAGAAUUACCACCUUAAGUUCUAUGAACUAAAAAGACCCCAAAGAGGGUUUGACUUUUCAGAAUGUCUUUCUGAGAGUAAUUGAGAUUCUUUUGUCCAGCCUAAUGCAUAUUUGUCUCUAAAUUUUGCUUUUACCUAAAGUUCUUAUUUUGUUAUUAGGAUUUCUAGUAUUUCUGAUUGAUUGGAUUUUAGGUUCAUUUAGUUUAGAUGUUGAAUUCCCUUGUUUUCUUUUAUUCGUUUCUGAUACUUGAAGAUUCAAAUUCCUUGCAUUUAGUUUUUUUGUUUCUUUCCAGGUCAUGUAUAUGAUAGUGUGAAUUGGUUGAUCAUAUUUUUCAUGCAUUCAGAGUUUCUGUUUUCUUUGCUUUCAUUUACAGGAUUCAAUUUUACUUCCUUUUGCAUAUUUUAGUUAUAUCAUUCAUAGGUUUAGGUCUUGUUAUUGCAUUGAGUAGUGGUCAUCAGUUUGGGUUUCUCAUAAAUGGAUAGUGUUUCAUUGUAGUAUAGAUACCAUUCUAAUUCUGUUUUAGUUUCUUUUUAGUUUGUAAGAGUCUUUUAAUUGACUUAGCUUGGUCUUGUUAAUACAUAUUACGUUAGUUACCGUAGAUAUCAUGCACUGUUUUCUUUCUCUUUUUGCAUUAGUUUUACUUAGAUUUUAAUUCUUUCAGUUUCAAUUUUUUUUUUAGAUUUUAUUUUUACAUUUUAUUUUCCCCACCAGUUUUAGAUUUUAGUAAAUAGUAAUUAGGUUUAAUUCUAUAAUUCUAAACUUGAUAAGUACCAAGUCCACAGAUUGAUCCUUGGUUGACCCCUAUAUUACAUUAGUGGGGAAAUUUAAGGUUUGUUGACUUUUGUGCGACCAAAAGCCUUUCAACACUCCUGUAGUGCCGCUCCAGAGAUGAAUAUACAAGAGUAGAGUCUCGCCCCUUCUCCUCCAUGUCCGCGACUUGCUUUAGGGAUUCUAAUCCCAGAUUUAUGCAAAUUGAUUUCUCUGAUUGCAGGUGAAAAAUGGAUGGUGGUAAAUAUGCGUUUCUUGUUCGCAAGAACUGACUGUGCAUUGUGAUGAAGGAAAUCGUGAUUUCCGAUUCCUGGUGCUGUGCGACGAGGUUCGAACAUGGAGGUUGCAGCGUGUUGCGAUUUGCGAUUGGAAUUAUGGCUUUGCAGGUCUGAUUGUGGUUGGUUGAGUUAUGCAGGUGGUGGAAAUGGUAAGACCGUGGUGGUGCGAUGGUGGCGAGAUUGAAGUUGGUGAGGGCGCAUGGUUGGGGCGUUGUAAUGGUCGUUCCUACGGCGGCGGACGCGUGAGGAUAGCACUCGAGGAAGAUGAUGGUGGCCGUGGAAGAAGGUGGCGGUGCGACGAGGAUGGUUGCUGGUGGUGUUUUGGGCGUUGAUGGAGAAGGCGCGAGAAUGUGNUGGUAACNGAAACUUGCAGCGCGACAGNGGNAGCGUCUUCCCNGCGGCUUCACGGNGGCACUNUGNCUGGUCGGCGCGACAUGNUGGUUGCGGUGAUGCGGCGUAGGGAAGAUGGUGGUGGCCGGCGGCUAGGGUUUGGUUGGAUUAGGGUUUCUCUGUUAGAGAAGAUGGUGAUGACGUGGCAUGAGGGAGUUAGGUGGCAUGUUCUAAGUGGUUGGAUCUAUUAGUGGUGGAUUGCCACGUGGCAAAAUCUAAUGAAGUCUGACUUAGGAAUGGUAUGAGGGUGUGUGUAUAGUGACUUAGGGGGUGUAGGCGAAAAGGGUUUCUUUUGGCUUAGUGUUGGGCCAGAGGUUUAGAACUGAGGGGUGCAUAUAGGGAAAUCUGGGGGUGCAAGAGUAAAGAUUGCCUAUUUGGCCCAUCUGGACAUUAUUUAUCAAAUAAAAUCUGAUUUUGAGCUUUAAAUUUGCAAUUUAGACCAAUAAAACUCUAACUUCAGCUGCACAAAUAAAUAUUAGAACAUCCAAGAAUAAUUUAUGCAAUUAAAAUCACUUUUUAAGCCUCUUUUAAUUCCAAC
Molecule: long non-coding RNA, 3193 nt
Filed under: Vigna radiata
Lineage: Eukaryota; Viridiplantae; Streptophyta; Magnoliopsida; Fabales; Fabaceae
Description: long non-coding RNA (VRAD_LNC013575)
Source: RNAcentral